This 284-nucleotide long non-coding RNA is filed under the name Manihot esculenta (cassava). RNAcentral's name for it is "long non-coding RNA (MESC_LNC007944)". Lineage: Eukaryota; Viridiplantae; Streptophyta; Magnoliopsida; Malpighiales; Euphorbiaceae. The record is from RNAcentral.
CUUCCAAAGCAUCUAGGUUGCUCUUCAAUUUCUCCCCGUUAUCCUUCUCAUCAUAAUAUUGUAAUAUUUAGCUCCAUAGGAACCAUAAAUUCGAUUCCAUAUGCCAAAAAAAAUGGUGUUUCUCCUCUUUUGAGUGUCCAUGAGACUAAGUUUUAACCGAUAUCUGGGCCUACCAUUGGUUAUUGGAAGGAAUCAGAAGGAAGUUUUCAGUUAUGUGCUUGAUAAAGUUUGGAAGAGAGUGCAGGGAUAGAAAGGUUCCUUGUUAUCGCGAGCUAGCAAGGAGG